Molecule: ribosomal RNA, 494 nt
Filed under: uncultured bacterium
Lineage: Bacteria
Description: partial 16S ribosomal RNA
Rfam family: Bacterial small subunit ribosomal RNA
Source: RNAcentral
GACGAACGCUGGCGGCGUGCUUAACACAUGCAAGUCGAACGGAAAGGCCUGCUUUCCCUUGUGGAUUGCGGGUACUCGAGUGGCGAACGGGUGAGUAACACGUGAGUGAUCUGCCCCCAACUUGGGUAUAAGCCUGGGAAACUGGGUCUAAUUCCCGAUAGGACUGCAGGGUGGUGGCUGUGGUGGAAAACGAUUUUCUAGUGGUUGGGGAUGAGCCCGCGGGCUAUCAGCUUGUUGGUGGGGUAAUGGCCUACCAAGGCGGCGACGGGUAGCCGGCCUGAGAGGGUGGACGGCCACAUUGGGACUGAGAUACGGCCCAGACUCCUACGGGAGGCAGCAGUGGGGAAUAUUGCACAAUGGGCGGAAGCCUGAUGCAGCGACGCCGCGUGGGGGAUGACGGCCUUCGGGUUGUAAACUCCUUUCGACCGCGAGGAAGCCACCUGGUUGGAAGGGUGGUGACGGUAGUGGUAGAAGAAGCACCGGCUAACUACGUG